This 440-nucleotide ribosomal RNA is filed under the name uncultured bacterium. Its description in RNAcentral is "partial 16S ribosomal RNA". It matches the Rfam family "Bacterial small subunit ribosomal RNA", at positions 338 to 795 of the family's 1533-position model. The record is from RNAcentral.
CCUACGGGUGGCUGCAGUCGAGAAUCAUUCACAAUGGGGGAAACCCUGAUGGUGCGACGCCGCGUGGGGGACGAAGGCCCUCGGGUUGUAAACCGCUUUCAGCAGGGAAGAUCCAAGACGGUACCUGCAGAAGAAGCUCCGGCUAACUACGUGCCAGCAGCCGCGGUAAUACGUAGGGGGCGAGCGUUAUCCGGGUUCAUUGGGCGUAAAGCGCGCGUAGGCGGCCGCCUAAGCGGGACCUCUAACCCCGGGGCUCAACCCCGGGCCGGGGCCCGGACUGGGCGGCUCGAGUGCGGUAGAGGAGAGCGGAAUUCCCGGUGUAGCGGUGGAAUGCGCAGAUAUCGGGAAGAACACCGAUGGCGAAGGCAGCUCUCUGGGCCGUCACUGACGCUGAGGCGCGAAAGCUGGGGGAGCGAACAGGAUUAGAUACCCUUGUAGUC